UACUCCUACGGGAGGCAGCAGUGGGGAAUAUUGCGCAAUGGGGGGAACCCUGACGCAGCCAUGCCGCGUGAAUGAAGAAGGCCUUCGGGUUGUAAAGUUCUUUCGGUAUUGAGGAAGGUUGAUGUGUUAAUAGCACAUCAAAUUGACGUUAAAUACAGAAGAAGCACCGGCUAACUCCGUGCCAGCAGCCGCGGUAAUACGGAGGGUGCGAGCGUUAAUCGGAAUAACUGGGCGUAAAGGGCACGCAGGCGGUUAUUUAAGUGAGGUGUGAAAGCCCCGGGCUUAACCUGGGAAUUGCAUUUCAGACUGGGUAACUAGAGUACUUUAGGGAGGGGUAGAAUUCCACGUGUAGCGGUGAAAUGCGUAGAGAUGUGGAGGAAUACCGAAGGCGAAGGCAGCCCCUUGGGAAUGUACUGACGCUCAUGUGCGAAAGCGUGGGGAGCAAACAGGAUUAGAUACCCUGGUAGUCCACGCUGUAAACGCUGUCGAUUUGGGGGUUGGGGUUUAACUCUGGCGCCCGUACCUAACGUGAUAAAUCGACCGCCUGGGGAGUACUGCCGCAUGGUUAAAACUCAAAUGAAUUGACGGA
RNAcentral lists this ribosomal RNA (589 nucleotides) under uncultured bacterium. RNAcentral's name for it is "bacterial SSU rRNA". It matches the Rfam family "Bacterial small subunit ribosomal RNA", at positions 334 to 917 of the family's 1533-position model. The record is from RNAcentral.